RNAcentral lists this long non-coding RNA (7655 nucleotides) under Homo sapiens (human). Its description in RNAcentral is "non-protein coding LINC02027:20". Lineage: Eukaryota; Metazoa; Chordata; Mammalia; Primates; Hominidae. The record is from RNAcentral.
GCACAACCAUUAAGACCCUCAUCUAUAGUGGACUGGAACAAAGCACAGGUUAAAAAGAAGAAUGAAAACCCCUCAAGCCAGAUUUUAUGACUUUUUAUAUCACACUGAAAAGUCCAAUGAACUACAGAUUUCAACCAUGGAGAUUUGUGCCCUACUAUGAAACGGUGACUGUAACACAGAUUGAUGAAAGAUUCUGCAGGACGACAAAGGUUAAAGAUGUAGACCCGGAGCUAGAAGCCAGCACUGACACUGAUGGAGUGGACUGCGAUGAGAAUGCCCACAUUAUUGUCCUAUCCUCUGAUAACCAAUGUAAUAUGAAAACCGACUACAGAAGAAAGGAACAAAUUAAAUCCAUUAAUCAAGCAUAUCUCUGCUAAACAGUUGUUCGAAACUGAUGAACAAAUGAAAAAUUUACUGUUUGUUUUCAUGCUUGCAAGGAUUGGGGAAGAAAAUUAAUUAUAAGGUACUGGCCACACUAUCAGUAAAGUUUUUCUUGAGGAAACUAUUGCUUUGUCAAAGGACAAAUGAACCUCAUUAGGGAGAUUAGUUUCAGCUGGUAGUUUUGCAUUAGUACAAACUAAUAAUACACACUUCAAAAGAUACCCUGAGUAAGAUUAUGAAAAUUGAAAUCCAUUUGUUACUUCUUAAUUUACUAACUGUUAGAAAAUGACCACUCUAUUACUUAUCAUGAAACCAGAAGGAAAUCAAACACUGCUCACCUUUCAACUAAGUGCCUGAAAGAGAACUGUUGCAGUGUGGGCUUUGUGAGUGCUGCGAUGAUGAACUUACGCAUACAGGGGUUAUAACUUGGCCACGGCAUUUUACUCUUAGGUUGAAGCAUGUCAUGCAGAGCUCCAUGCCAAACGCAAUUUUUGAUAAGCUUCUUUGAAAUCCUUUUCUUUUCAAAUGUUUUAAAUGAAUUGGACAAAUAGCAAACUGACAUCUGAUAUUCUGAAUUCCCCUUAAAUCUAUACAGAGCAAGAACAGAAAAGAGAAAACGCUACUUUGCUAUCAAUCCUGUAUGGCCAGUGCACUGAGGCUCCUAAGCUGGCCACAGUGAGUGCAGUCCAGCUUCAAUGUUCAUUGAAUCCCUGGCCUUUCUGUCAAGGCAGCUAAGAACAGAGCCAAUCACUGCUCUCGGUGACGGGGAGUGCUUGGCUGCAGACACACGUCUUCCAAAACCUGGAGUGAGACCAGUCUCAUUCCAAAGAGUGUAUAAAUCAGCUGUGAAAUAAUAAUGACUUUUUUGGGUUCUACUGACCCGGCCUGGAUUCAGACUGCUGACCCAGAAAAGAAAGGCUUCACACAUCCCAUUAGCAGUCCUUUCAGCCAUUGAAGACAUCCCCAUCCAAUUCUGACUUUCUUUCCUUUACAGCAGUCUUGCUCUUUUUUACGGGCAUGUAAACCAAAUUGACGUUUACUUACUGCUUUUGUUUGGUUCCUUGAUGUAACUUCUCUAAUUUAACAGCAGCUUUCCAGGCAUAGCGUUUGAAUGAAUCAGGCCAAAUAACAUUAAAGUUCACUUUCUCAAAGCUUAAACUCUGUUACCGAGAAAAGAUGGGGGUAGAGUUUUAAAGUAUUCUUCUUAGUAUAAAACUAAACGUUUUUCUCUAGACAUAUUGUCUCGUGAUAUUUUUAAAAGCCAGCAUUAUUUUUUUUUCAGGAAAGUUAAGUCAGUCUAUAACAGUGAUUCCACGGUUUACCCUGUUGUCCUGGAGUGGGUAGGAGCUUUCAGGAGUAGCUAAGGGUUUUCUUUUUCCAAAGUAAGUGUGUCAAGUUGAAAGAAAAUUACAGGUUGUGGGACUGAGAAGUUAGAUAAUAUAAGGGCUCUUCUAAUGAAAAAAAAAAAUCCAAAUUUGCAAAUACUAAACAGAUGUCUUAGUUUGAGUUUUCCGAAGCAAAUUCCAAGAGGAGAAUAUGGGUACAAUUUGCUUAUAUGAGAAGUGAUUCCAGAAGCACAACGAAAUCAUGAAGUGGUGACAUGGAGACGGAAGAAAGCCAAUAAAAGGGUGGUAAACAAUGAGGAAUACCACUCUGAGCAAUUGGGGCUCAGUCUUGCUGUGGGGCCCUCUGGAAGACAUUUUAGAUAACGCCUCAGGGUGCCAAACCAGGAGGCAAACACUGGAGUGUAUACUACUCCUAUUCCUAACAGACUGAGGAUUGUUCCUGGGGGUAGUAAUUUCCCAGCAUUUCCAGCCUUCUCUGUCUUUGCAUAUGUUCAUGGGCAGUGUAUAUUCCUUAGAAAACCCUAAGGAAGGGAAAGGCUUAGGUGGAAGCCAUAGACGUGUACAGGAGCCAUCCAGCAAAGCCCCCGUUGAGCUCCAGUGUAAGCUUAGGGUAGAGAAGGAUACUAGAAACAUGUGACAGCUUCUCCACUAGAUAUCAAAUUGAAUAUUUAAUUAAAUAAAUCACAACAAAUCCCAAAUAUUAAAAGAUGACAAAUGUGGUCAUUUCAUACUCACCAACAUGAAGGUCGGUAUGACAGAGGAGAAGUCAGGAGAGGUGUGAUAACAGGCCUAAAUGACUGCUGCCAAGAAUCUUAUUGUUGCAAUAGUAAAAUAAUAAAGAUAAUGACAAUAAUACCUUAUGAGCACACUGCUACAGUCUUUCUCAGUGUCUCAAAAGAAAUCUGUGUGAGAGCCCCUCAAACGUGGGCUUCAAAAACUUCUUGGUAAAUUUCCCAUGGCUGCUAUUACUGAGUUUCUCUAAUAUCCUAUGUAUGUGUAGCUCUGAAAUUAAGUUGAAUAUCAUUUUUCAAAGCAUUUCUGAACAGCAAGAAUAACAACAAUGAAAAAUAGAAAAAUCACUCAAAACAUUUAUUUUAAUAUAUGCACAUACUUAUGAUAAUUGAUAAGCCAUAAUUUUUUACAGCCUGGUUUAUUAUCCCAGGUGCUACUGACAUUUUGAACUAAAAAGUCCUUUGGUCAGAAACAGGGGGGCUGUCCUGUGCAUUUUAGGAUGUUUACAAAUAUUAAACAGAUGCCCUAGUUUGAGUUUUCCAAAAGGAAACUCCAGGAGGAGAAUAUGGGCACAAUUUGCUUAUAUGAGAAGUGAUUCCAGAAGCACAACAAAGCCAUGAAGUGGUGACUUGGAGAAGGAAGACAGCCAAUAAAAGGGUCAUAAACAAUAGGGAAUAGGUGACACGGAGAAGGAAGACAGCCAAUAAAAGGGUCAUAAACAAUAGGGAAUACUAUCCUGAGCAAAUUAUCCCUGACCUGUCCCCACCAGAUACUGAUACAUGUACCAGUACUACUAGAUACACAUCUUCCCCAGUUUAAAGAAAUAAAAGAAAGUCUCCAAACACUGACAAAUGUAAAAAACAACAACAAAAAAACACCUCCUGUUAGAACGACUGAUUUAGAACACAGAAAAACUUGCAAACUUAAAAAAGCAGUUCAUUUGCUUAUACACCUUAUGUCUCCCUCUAUGCUACUUAUGGAUUUAGAAAAAUUCUCUAAUUCAGUCUCUUUUAGUAUUCAAACAAGCAUAGUAUUGUGUAAAUGAGAAAAUGUUCUUAACGACUAAACCAUAAAAUAUUGUUAAGGAUAUCAAGAAAUGAAGAUACUUUAAGGAGCUACCUAUCAUCCCACAUUAAUCGACAUACCAGAAAACAAAGAAUAUAUCCUAUAUUUAAACCAUUCUAAAAAAGAACCCAGGUAUCCUACUAAUUAUUUAACAUUGUAAGUAACAAUGGUAAGUUAAGUGCAAUGUUUAAUAUCUCUCUGGUACAAUAUAAGAUUGUUAUGAUAUGUGAUAUGUAUAUAAAAAGUAUUUAAUAUGAUAUUGACUAAUAAAAAUAGUCUUUUUAUCUUCUGCAAAACCAUAAGUGUAUGGAAAACAUUACAUUAAGCUUAACUAACAUUUAAAAAAACAACUACAGUGGAAGGAUCACUGAGCCCGGGAGGCGGAGCUUGCAGUGAGCCAAGAUCACACCACUGCAUUCCAGCCUGGGAGACAAAGUGAGACCCUGUCCCCUCUAAAAAACAAAAACAAAAAACAAAACUACCGAAUUCUAUAAAACUUUUCCAAGCUCUUAAAAGUAAGCACUUUUACACAAGAUAAACUUUCUGCCCUCAAGAAUAAACAAUCAAGUGAAGGAAGAAAUACAAGUUUGUGGAUUAUAGCAAUAUAAUUCAAUUUUAUAGUGCCAAAUAAUGCUAUUUCUCCCUAAUAGUAUUCUGCGAUAAGAGAUCCUUGGAGAUGUUAAGAGGUGACAAGAAAAAGUUAAAUAAUUUUACACAAUGGAAAGCAUAUUCUCUUCUCAGAGACAUUCACAUUGUUAUAUAAAAGGCUCUGGAAGGUUUGUCAGAAGAAACGUAUAUUAAAGUUUUUCUAACCCAACAUUUUACAAGUAAUUUGAGCAGAGAACGAUUCUCUCACAACAAGAUCAAGAUGUGGUGGCUCAUUAAAUCAGAAAUAAAUGUAUUAAAUAAUUUAAUUUCCACUGAAAGAUGAGAAUACGCAUAAAGAGAGAAAUUCGAAUUUUAAGUGGACAUUAUAAAAUGGGGAAUAUUUUGCCGUAGAGGAAUGUGGAUGGAAACCACCAAAGGUAUAAGAAAUACCAAGAUUAGAAAAUGCUGGUCAGGCUGGGCACUGUGGUUCAUUCCUGUAAUCCCAACACUGGGAGGCCAAGGAGGGAUGAUCACUUGGGCCCGGAAGUUCAGGAUCAUCCUGGAAAAUAUGUCAAGACUUCACCUCUACCAGAAAUUUACAAAUUAGCUGGGCAUGGUAGAAUGUACCUGUAGACCUAGCUACUUAGGUGGAAGAAUCACUUGAGCCCAGCAGUUCAAGGUGACAGUGAACUACGAUCAGGCCACUUGAUUCCAGUCUUGGCAACAGGGUAAGACCUUGUCUUUAAAAAAAUAAAAAGCAAAAAAUAAAAUGCUAGUUAUAUUAGGAAAAAGCCUGACUGAGGUCCAAAUGCAUGUGGAAGACUGUUUCAGCAAAGGUAACAUCCCUCUAUGCCACAGCUUGAUUGAAUUUUAAAUAAAGAUGAUGAUAAAAUGUACAUUUAUUAAGGAGAUAAUUGAUGUAAUGUGCUCAGUACAAGUUUUGGCAUAUUACAAGCAUUCAAUAAACCCUACAUCUUAUUAUCAUUAAAAUAUUAAUACAUAUUGUCUGAGCAUCACUACUUUUUUCUGGAAAAUAGGGCUAUAAAUACACUGGAAUCCUCACAAAGCUAUUACAAAUUUCAGGUGGUCUGCUCUAUGUAAAAGUGCUGGUAAGUGGAAAGUGCUACCUAAGUGCAAAAUGUUACAUUUUAUUUAAAGUGCUACUUAAGUGAAUAAUACUAUGUUUUAUUAGAGUAGUUUGUAUUUCUGUCUACAGUUGCUCAAUGAGUCAAACUGUUUUCCUCUUUUACCCUGUAUUGUUUGGCAUGGAAAUUCGAUUUUCAGCUGUAGGUUUCACUGAAACAUCAUUUAUUGGAAGGGUGUCAAGGUAACUCAGAUUUGAAGGAAAUGCUGAAGGAACCAGGGACCCUCUGGGAGCCUCACUGAGUAUAAACCAGGCCUUUAACCUGGCAAAAACUCUCACCGUCUUUUUCCAUCUCAUCUCUGCUUCUUAAAGUGGGUCACCUUCAUUCAUUCAGAUUUUCCUUAGAGGCAUGGAAACUGGUGUCUCUGAGACUAUAUUGUCCCAACUCCAGGACCUGAGAGAGGGGAUUUCCCUGUGAACUGUGCUUGUAAAACUCUAGGUGAAAGAAUUUGACUAUCUUUAUCACAUUUCUAUUCUUGUACUGAUUCAUUCAUUCAGUAAUAUUGUAUAAAAACCUAAUAAUUUCCAGGUCAUUUUUUCAGCCUAGCUAUAUAGAAGUGAGCAAGGAAAAGUGUCUUUCUUUGCCUAUUUUAAAUUAUAAUGUGUGAAGUAGAGAACCAGCAAAGAGAAAAGAAAAGAAAAUUUAAGUGGAAGUACAGUGAGGAAUUUAAUACAAAAUAGUGUGACAUGAAGAGAUGGAGUUGAAAGCAGGAUGCUUUUAGAUAGCCAGAAGAAUAGAAGCACUGCGAUGGGCCACGCCAGUCCAGUCAGGGUUUUCUGAAAGAGGGUGAAUCUGAAAUAUAAAGUUGUAGUGAAGAAGAAGCAGUUCCCUCAAAGGAAAGGGUGUGGCUAUCUCCCAAUUUGUAAUCCCUAAAGACAUGAUAUUGAGAUUUAUGGUGUGUCUCUGUGUCCCCACUCAAAUCUCAUGUCAAAUUGUAAUCCUUAGGUAUCAGGGGAGGGUACUGGUGGGGGUGACUGGAUCAUGUUGGUGGAUUUCCCCCUUGCUGUUCUUGUGAUAGUGAGUGAGUUCUCACAAGAUUUGAUGGUUUAAAACUGUGUGGCACUUCCCCCUUCUUUCUCUCUCUCCUGCUCUGCCAUGGUAAGAUGGGCUUGCUUCUCCUACACCUUCUGCCAUGAUUGUAAGUUUCCUGAGGCCUCUCAGUCAUGCUCCCUGCAGAACUGUGACUCAGUUAAGCUUCUUUUCUUCAUAAAUUACCCAGUUUCUGGUAGUUCUUCAUAGCAACAUGAGAAUGGAAUAAUACAUUGAGUAAAGACAACAUAGAUGUCUACUACAUCCUCUCCUUCUGUUUAUUUAUUUAUUUUUUAACUACCUUAGCUGUAAAAUUACAUGAAAUCAGGUUGGGCAUGGUGGCUUACGCCUGUAAUCCCAGCACUUUGGGAGGCCAAGGUGGGUGGAUCACUUCAGAUUAGGAGUUCAAUACCAGGCUGGUCAACAUGGUGAAACCUCAUCUCUACUAAACAAUACAAAAAUUAGCUGGGCAUGGUGGUGCACACCUGUAGUCCCAGCUACUGGGAGGCUGAGGCGGGAGAAUCACCUGAAUCCAGGAGGCGGAGGUUGCAGUAAGCUGAGAUUGCGCUACUGCACUCCACCUUGGCAACAGUGUGUAACUCCGUCUCAAAAAAUAAAAUAAUAAAAUAAAAUAAAAUUAUGUGAAUUCAAGUUUUGGAUAAGAAGUGAUUUAAAAAGUCACUUUAUAGAUGGCCUCUUAGCCAUCAUAACUAGAGAUUGCAUCUACAGAAAAUGUUGCUUAAGCAUUUGGUAAUUUAGUAGAUUAUAGAACAAUUCUAACACUUCAAACCUUUUAUUCAGGAAGUAAUAAAAUUGUUAAACAAUAAUCCUGAGAAGUCACUGGAAGUUGUGGAAAAAAGUACAUUCUCUAAAAAUGUAUGACAAAAUAAUAUAUAAUGUAUUUGUUGGAACAUAUUUAUUGCAUAACUAAAAAUGUGAAACUAAGCCUUGUGAUAAUGACCGCAAUAGUAAAAAAUUAAUCUAAUGAUCAACUCAUAUUCAAAUUUAGCCAAUAAUAUUACCAGUUACUUUGUACAAAACUUUUGAGGUUGCCAAUAAACUAAUUUUAUAUUUAACGUUUAUUUUUGGAAAUGUUUUAUCUUUCUAUCAAUGGAGUUGCUAAAGUUUGAAAACGGCAGAAAAAGUACAAAGAGAAAUAAUCAUUUCCUCCUCUGUGCUGCCUCUGAUCUCAUACACAUGAUUUUAAUGUGUUUUUAUUUGUUUACAGUUCUGUCUCUCCUACUGGCCUGGAUGUUCAUUAGAGCUGGUACUAUUUACGUUCAAUUUUUUAUCUCUAAUGCUGAGUUUAGUAAUGCUUGACACAUCAUCACUGGUUAAUUAAUAUUUAUUAAAUAAAUAAAUGAGCCCA